UAAAUUAUUAUUAUUCUUAUUUUUUAAAAAAUAAUUUGUAGUUUUAUUAAUUUUUAUUGAAAAAAUUUAAAAUAUGAUAGUUAAUUAGUAUAGUAGUAGAAAUUUAUUUAAAUAUUUAAUAGAAAAUUUAAUUUAUUGUACCUUGUGUAUCAGGGUUUAUUUAAUUUAUAUUAUUUAUUUUAAUUUUUUUGAAUUUAAAAGAGAAAAAAAAAAAUUUAUUUUAAUGUGAAAAAAUUAUUUAUAAUUUUUUUUUUGUAAUGAGAUGUUAUUCGUUUUUAAAUUUAUCAAAUUGUUAAAGAAAUAAAUUUAAUUUAUUGAUUUAAAUAUAAUUUUUAUUUUAAAUUAUUAUAUUAUUGAUCAAAAAUAAUUUAUGGGAUAAGCUAUAAAUUAAAAUCUUUAAAGUAUUAAAAUUAUUUAAAAUAAAUAAAAUUAUAAAUUUUUAUUUUUAAUAGUUUGUUAUAAUUAUUUUUAAUUUUUAUAUAAUUUAAAUUUACUUAAAAUUAUUUAUUUAAUUAAUUUAAUUAAUUAAUAAUUAAGUUUAAUAAUGAUAAAAUUAGUAUAAUAUUUUGUUAAAUUAAUAAAAAUUUUUAGAUAAAAUUAAGUAAUUCGGCAAAUAAUUUUUUCGCCUGUUUAAUAAAAACAUGUCUUUAAGAGUAUAAUUUAAAGUUUAAUCUGCCCACUGAGUAUUUAAUGGCCGCAGUAAUUUAACUGUGCAAAGGUAGCAUAAUAAUUAGUUUUUUAAUUGAAAGCUAGAAUGAAUGAUUGGACGAGAAAAAAUCUGUCUCAAUUUUAUAUAAUUAGAAUUUAAUUUUUAAGUUAAAAAGCUUAAAUAAUUUUAAAAGACGAGAAGACCCUAUAGAGUUUAAUAAUUUUUUUAAAUUUAUAAUUUUUAGAUUAAAUUUUUAUAUUUUAAUAAAUUAUUUAGUUGGGGUGACUUAAAAAUUUGAUAAACUUUUUUAUUAAUUAAACAAUUAUUUUUGAUUUAUUGAUCCUAAUUUUAGAUUAAUAGAUUUAAUUACCUUAGGGAUAACAGCGUAAUUUUUUUGAAGAGUUCUUAUCGAUAAAAAAGAUUGCGACCUCGAUGUUGGAUUAAGAUAAAUUUUUAAUGUAGAAGUUAAAAUAAUUAAGUCUGUUCGACUUUUGAAAUCUUACAUGAUCUGAGUUUAAACCGGUGUGAGCCAGGUUGGUUUCUAUCUUUAAUUAUAUUAAAUAAUUUAGUACGAAAGGACCAAUUAUU
RNAcentral lists this ribosomal RNA (1237 nucleotides) under Rybaxis sp. 1 EF-2015. RNAcentral's name for it is "16S ribosomal RNA". The stretch from base 1026 to 1185 matches the Rfam family "Archaeal large subunit ribosomal RNA", at positions 2542 to 2701 of the family's 2987-position model. Lineage: Eukaryota; Metazoa; Arthropoda; Insecta; Coleoptera; Staphylinidae. The record is from RNAcentral.